CUGAUAUCAGGCACUGCCCAAAACAUCUAGCCACGCCACACCCACAAGGGCCCUCAGCAGUGAUUAACCUUAAAAAUAAACGUCAGUUUGAUUUAGCCAUGAAAAGAGCCGGCCAAUCUGGUGCCAGCCGCCGCGGUUACACCUAUGGCUCAAGUUGACUUCCGGCGUAAAGCGUGAUUAAAGAUGGGGUCAAACUUAAAUAAGACUGUGAAAAGUUUAUUCUUAAGCCUACCUCGAAAGAUACCCCAACCAACCAACUUGAACUCACUACAACUAAGAUACAAACUGGGAUUAGAUACCCCACUAUGCCUGUCGUAAACUUUAACUUUCGCCAGGGAACUACGAGCAAAGCUUAAAACCCAAAAGACUUGACGGUGCCCCACAUCCUUCUAGAGGAGCCUGUCCUGUAAUCGAUACUCCCCGUUCAACCUCACCAUUUUUAGUUCAGCCUGUAUACUUCCGUCGUCAGCUUACCGCGUGAGCGAAAGUAAGCUUAAUGCCCCC
This 504-nucleotide ribosomal RNA is filed under the name Pristimantis kichwarum. RNAcentral describes it as "partial 12S ribosomal RNA". It matches the Rfam family "Bacterial small subunit ribosomal RNA", at positions 319 to 1091 of the family's 1533-position model. Lineage: Eukaryota; Metazoa; Chordata; Amphibia; Anura; Strabomantidae. The record is from RNAcentral.